Stegodyphus mimosarum is the source of this 73-nucleotide non-coding RNA. NCBI's taxonomy places the organism in Eukaryota, Metazoa, Arthropoda, Arachnida, Araneae, Eresidae. The record is from Rfam.
GCCUUCGUCGUGCAGUGGUCAGCACAAUUGGCGCGUAUUCGAGAGGUCCCUGGUUCGAGUCCCAGCGAGGGCA